UAGGGAAUCUUCGGCAAUGGACGAAAGUCUGACCGAGCAACGCCGCGUGAGUGAAGAAGGUUUUCGGAUCGUAAAACUCUGUUGUUAGAGAAGAACAAGGACGUUAGUAACUGAACGUCCCCUGACGGUAUCUAACCAGAAAGCCACGGCUAACUACGUGCCAGCAGCCGCGGUAAUACGUAGGUGGCAAGCGUUGUCCGGAUUUAUUGGGCGUAAAGCGAGCGCAGGCGGUUUCUUAAGUCUGAUGUGAAAGCCCCCGGCUCAACCGGGGAGGGUCAUUGGAAACUGGGAGACUUGAGUGAAGAAGAGGAGAGUGGAAUUCCAUGUGUAGCGGUGAAAUGCGUAGAUAUAUGGAGGAACACCAGUGGCGAAAGCGGCUCUCUGGUCUGUAACUGACGCUGAGGCUCGAAAGCGUGGGGAGCAAACAGG
Molecule: ribosomal RNA, 429 nt
Filed under: Chloroflexota bacterium
Lineage: Bacteria; Bacillati; Chloroflexota
Description: Chloroflexi bacterium partial 16S ribosomal RNA
Rfam family: Bacterial small subunit ribosomal RNA
Source: RNAcentral